CCCACCCAAGGGAGGGUGGAGCUGAGCAGGAAGAGAAGAGGAAGCUGCAGAGGAGACUGAGGAAGGAAGAAAGCAGGAUGGAGCCAGAAGGAGACCUGGAGGAGGUGCUUGGAGCCAGGAGACACAUGAAGAAACUGCGCUUGUCUUUUGGUCGUGGACUGGGUGACACAGAUAUUCGGUAUGGAAUAUGAACAGUGAACAUCUGAAGGUGAAAGUUGACAACCUAAAGAGGGAUUUUGUCUGCUUAAACUAAAAGAAUUGGACAUGAAUUUCAUUGUAUGGCUUUGAGUGGAAUCUUCCAGGAAGAUGAAACAGCUGAAUCAAGAAGAAGAGAACCCGCUGCCUUGUCCGUAGGCUCCAGAGACC
Talpa occidentalis (Iberian mole) is the source of this 366-nucleotide long non-coding RNA. RefSeq lists it as uncharacterized. The record is from RefSeq and is a predicted model, not a curated record. The transcript has 3 exons. NCBI's taxonomy places the organism in Eukaryota, Metazoa, Chordata, Mammalia, Eulipotyphla, Talpidae.